This 70-nucleotide transfer RNA is filed under the name Sceloporus scalaris (bunch grass lizard). Its description in RNAcentral is "tRNA-Gln". The record is from RNAcentral. Lineage: Eukaryota; Metazoa; Chordata; Lepidosauria; Squamata; Phrynosomatidae.
UUAGAAGAACAGGAAUUGAACCUGCACAUAAAGACUCAAAAUCUUCAGAACUCCCUUAUUCUACCUCCUA